This 114-nucleotide microRNA precursor is filed under the name Erinaceus europaeus (western European hedgehog). RNAcentral's name for it is "miRNA (ENSEEUG00000019613.1)". The record is from RNAcentral. Lineage: Eukaryota; Metazoa; Chordata; Mammalia; Eulipotyphla; Erinaceidae.
AACUGCAGCGUGUGCGUGUGCGUGUGUGUGCAUGUGCAUGUGUGCGUGUGUGUGUGUGCGCGUGUGCAUGUGCGUGUGUGCAUGUGCGUGUGUGUGCAUGUGUGUGUGCAUGCG